AGUGAACGCUGGCGGCGUGGAUUAGGCAUGCAAGUCGGACGGUAGGGCUUUAUCGUAAGAUAGAGUUUGAGAGUGGCGAACGGGUGAGUAACACGUAGGAAUCUACCCUUAAGACGGGGACAACCCAGGGAAACUUGGGCUAAUACCGGAUGAGAGUGCGAGAGAUUGCAUUUAAAAGGAUGGCGAAAGUUGUCGCUUAGGGAUGAGCCUGCGGUCUAUUAGUUAGUUGGUGAGGUAAGAGCUCACCAAGGCGAUGAUAGAUAGGCGGCCUUAACGGGUGGUCGCCCACACUGGGAUUGAGAUACGGCCCAGACUCCUACGGGAGGCAGCAGUGGGGAAUUUUGGACAAUGGGGGCAACCCUGAUGCAGCAACGCCGCGUGGAGGAAGAAGGUCUUCGGAUUGUAAACUCCUGUCUUCUGGGACGAAUAAUGACGGUACCAGAGGAGGAAGCCACGGCUAACUACGUG
This 468-nucleotide ribosomal RNA is filed under the name uncultured bacterium. RNAcentral describes it as "bacterial SSU rRNA". It matches the Rfam family "Bacterial small subunit ribosomal RNA", at positions 29 to 507 of the family's 1533-position model. The record is from RNAcentral.